AGUGGCUCAUUCACCGACUUAUGUCAGCCCCUUCGGGACGUGCUACAUAAAAUACGAAUGACGCACAACAAGGUGCCUGCCGUCCAACUUCUGAUAUCAGCGUAGCUAUAUCAACCAUCGGGCGAAACGUCGAGUUAGGCACCGCCU
Molecule: small RNA, 147 nt
Filed under: Escherichia coli
Lineage: Bacteria; Pseudomonadati; Pseudomonadota; Gammaproteobacteria; Enterobacterales; Enterobacteriaceae
Also listed under: 1 other name
Description: Glm Y RNA activator of glmS mRNA
Rfam family: Glm Y RNA activator of glmS mRNA
About the family: This family consists of a number of bacterial RNA genes of around 167 bases in length.
Source: RNAcentral